Molecule: non-coding RNA, 5095 nt
Organism: Nothobranchius furzeri (turquoise killifish)
Lineage: Eukaryota; Metazoa; Chordata; Actinopteri; Cyprinodontiformes; Nothobranchiidae
Source: RefSeq, a predicted model, not a curated record
UAUUUAUAUUCAAUGUUGUUUUAAUUAGCCAAAUACAACAACGUCAUUGUUAUCAGCUUUGAAUUUGUUCAUGCCACUUUAAGUUCUAAAAAUAAAUGUCUUACAUUUUUGAAUAGAAGCAGAGUUGUGCCUCCAUAGCCAAGAUUGCUGCUAACCUCAUAAUGAAUGACUGCAUUGAUUACUUUUGUAAUGCAUGUAUACCUACAAUACUCACAGGAAUGUGUUGAUCUCUAAACACUGGAUCUUAUAAUUAGGUGAUGGAAUAAAACGUUCAUCCAGAGGAACAAGAGUGAGUGUCCUCUGGGGAGCCACCCACUUAUAGCAAAGCUUAACCAGGCCAAAGAUCUAAAGGAUCAAUCAAUACCUGUCUCUCAGCUUCUACCCGACCUCAAGGUCUCAUUUAUCAAACAUUGCGUAGAAUCCUUACUAAAACCGUACUUAAGCUCAGCAAAAAAAAAAGUACUUACGUCAAGUAGGUUUGUGAUCUAUCAAACAUGAAGUACGCACAGCUGCACGCAAUCUCCGCUUCAUAAAUCAGAGACCAUCUAGAAAGGUUCUCACGCCCACUUUCUGCCAUAAAUAGUCAAUGCAAAGUGCCUUGUGGAUCUCAUGCAUACACAUAAGCCAGCUGUUGCAGCGCUCUGCCAAUGACAUGGCGACCGUAGAUCAAGGCAGAUCAAGAAAGCACAAUUUCACAAGCAGAAACUGAGGUACCUGUGGGUGAGGUGGAGAAAUGAAAGGAAGUGCUUUUGCAAAACAAAUAAGAGAAAAUCCACGGAGUGACACAGCGUUGCUGAAGCCGUCAAUGUUGUGAAUUCUUCAGAGAGAUCUGUGGCGGAUAUAAAAAAAAUGGUCCAGUCGGGAUUCUAUCCCAAGACUCCCAGGUUAAAGUCAUGCGCAUUAACCAGUCAGCCAAACAGGAAUCUCCCUUGUCCAAGUAGCCAGAGCGCAUGAUCAAUGGGGUCACAGUGACAGGACACACACGGUCACAGACGCAUGACAUUCUGUCUCAAUGUGUCCCCCUGCUGAUAUUCUGCAUUCCGUAUUCUGCGCUUUAGGCUGUGUGUGUGUGUGUGUGUGUGUGUGUGUGUGUGUGUGUGUGUGUGUGUGUGUGUGUGUGUGUUUGUGUGUGUGUGUGUGUGUGUUUGUGUGUGCCUGUGUGUGUACAUGUGCAUGUGUGUGUGCGUGUGGGGGGUCUUGUUCUGUGUGAAAAUGAAGCAGUACAAGUGAUAAUGAGAAGGAUUUUAUCCUUCUCAGCAGCAGCACUGCAGGUGCUCUCCAUGUCCAACAUGUGCGUAAGCCAGGUCCUUAGUCAACUCUUAAAGUUGUGCACAUUUUUCCGCUAAGUUUUCUUUCAUAAAUCCCAAAGUUUGCGUGGAAUGUUGCUUACGCAGUUUUCCAACCCUGUUUUGUGCGUAAGCAAGCUUGCUAAAUGAGGCCCCUGUCUACUCAUGACGAGACGGAUCCUCUCUGAUAAUCACAUGUUCUUACAGGCAUCACGAGACAUUAGGUCUGAGUUCCAUUCAUAGUAAAGAAACCUUUGGUACAAAUCUAGGACAAUGUCCUCUAAAGAAGACACUAUAUUUUAGCAUCAUCAUCUGCAGCAAAGCACAGAAACAUGCUAAAGUUACCAGGGACACUUUCUGAAGUGAUGUCUCAUGCCUCACAUACAACUGCUUACAUUUUGGGACUUAUUUGUCUUUUAUUAUUCAGCAAAUUAAAUCAGUUCAGCUAGCUGAGAGGCACCAUAGAUGCAAAGAAUAAUUACUGUGGCGCGGUUUAGAUGCACAUGUCACUUUCAGGGUCUGUGCCUCCAGUCAUAAUGGAGCUUCGACUAGACAUAUGUAAAUGUAACUGGAGAUAAACUAUAGCAAUAAAAUCUGAAUAGUGAGUAUGAUUAUGCUAUUAUAAAUAUGCGAUAAUGAACUUUGUGUUGUUAUUGCAUGUAUUUACUUAUGCUAACGUUACCUUUUUUCUGACCUUAGUUUUUCACUGCCAUGAAAAGCCGCCAUGAACUUAGAAAAAAUUGUUUUUAUUUCUUCAUUCGAACGGGCUGUUGUUGAAACUAUCCUUACAAACCCAGUCUGGACUCCUUUCAGCCUGAAAAUUAUAGAUUAAUUUCUAAACCGCCUUUUUUAUGUUAGAAAAAGUUGUGGCCGAUUACUUUUAUGGAACAAUCAACAGUUUUCAUGAAUUCCAAUCUGAUUUUAUUAAAAAGCAUCAAUCAGAAACGGCUGAAAGCUUCCAGUGAUCAUGGUGGCUGCAGACAACAGGGAGCUUACAGUCUUGGAAUUAUUAGAUCUUUCUGCAGCUUUUGACACUGUUGAUCACAGCACCUUAAAGGUGUGGUUCACUGAAAAAAAUGAUAGUCUUCUACAAUAGUCUUCUACACCUAUCUCCUACAUUAACUUCUGAUGGAAAAUGGACAGAAAAACUCUAGGAUUGUCAGGAUCUGGGGUGAGUCUGCACAUUCCUCUAAUCACCUUAAGUCAUUGCAGGUGGGCGGCUCCGGAGAGCGGCCAGCUGCGAUGAUUUCCCUCAUCUACUUCAUGUGGUUAUAAGGAGCUGGAGAUCACUUCACCUUGCCGGAAGAUUACUCAACUUGGGAAUUCUCACCACGAACCUUUCCUGCAAUAACCUGGUAUUUUCAUCUCCAAGCCUGAUCUCCCUCCUCACCCGGACCGACCCGCUCUCCCACCGCUCACCUCCCUUGGAUUUUGGAUUCACGUUGACGUUGCUCACCCCAGUCCUGGCUACCCUCCCAAGCUCUGGAUUUCAGCUCCCACAACCCAGUCCCGGAGCUGUGCUCAACAUCACCGCCACGUCUGGCGGUGCACCUUUAGUUCUCCUUAAAAUAAAACAUUUAUUUUUUCCUACCUACGUCUCCUAGUGUGAAUUCUGCAUGUCUUGGGACAGGAAACUUCCCUCAGUCAUGACAAGGAUUUAAAAAGCCUGACAGAUCUUCAUCACACGGUCAUUUAGCAUUUAUGGACUUAUCCAUCUUGACGCAUGACGGGGAAUGCUGUUGUUGGUUUAGCAUUCAGGUAACAGAAGAGAAGGUCUCGGCCAUAGAUAUGAAUAUGCAGACACCUCAUUGGUUGCUGGAAAGCGUAACAGCUUUCGUCUGUGGUAGGGCAGAAUCUGGUUUGUUUAUGAAAGUAGUCCAAUCCGGUUUACUAAGAUUGGUAAACAACUGGGAGAUAUAAAAGAAGGCAACGCCAUUUUAUAUUCAGUUCCACGUUAAGUUCCACGUUAACAUCAGCUCUGUUCGAUCCGAGCUCCAAGGAGUUACAUCAUACUCUCAACAUUGUUUUCAACCAACUCUCAAUCCAUCACCGCAAAGAGGAAUACAGGCUGGCCAGCUGUAUUUCCUGUUUUAAGCUGAGAACUGACAAGCUGGAGAUUUCCGUCGUUUGUACCAACGAGACAACGUUCCUUCAAAAUAAGAGUGAACCUGCUGACGCCUGCCGACUACUACCGGAGUUAUCCUCAGACGGGCGUUGUGUGCUGUGACCGCUGUUUCAACCAGCUCCAGUACAACCGAGGUCUUAGGACCUGGCAAUUCCUGAUCUACAAGGGAGACUCCAUCUACGGUACGUGGCAAUAUGGCGGCUCAUGUCAUCAGCUUCUGAAGCCUCGUGGUAGCCUAGUCAUAACAAACCAGACUCGCUACUCAGCCUAGAGAUUCUGAACAAAACACACACACACACCAACACGAAACAUCUAAAUCCAUAUGCAUUCAUCACUGAGAUAGUCCUGGAAGAUUGUAAGAAUUUAUAAUUAUAGAAAUUAAAGAUUCUUAAACGAUCCCAACUCUCUCUCUUUUCUUGUCUCUCAGUCAAUACAGAGUGUUUAAGUAAACUCCCUGAUGAUAAAAACAACCACUUCUGAUUGAUUACUUAGAUCUAAUUAAGGUGUAUAAAUAUACAAAAUCAGAUAAUUAAAUUAUCUAAUUACAGUGUAUAAAUAUACAACUUCAAAUCACUACACCCAUUAGCUUUAUGGUUCACUUUAGAAUACUGACUAUAACUUUCAAAGCUCUACAUGGCAAAGAAAGAAAGAAAGAAAGAAAGAAAGAAAGAAAGAAAGAAUUAAAGAAAGAAUGAAAGAAAGAAAGAAUUAAAGAAAGAAAGUGAGCUUUUACAUAGUGCCUCUCAAGAUAAAAAUCAUGAGGCGCUACCCAACAACAACUAGACAAAAAUUAUGAUCAUUUUAUGACGUUACCCUUUUAUUUAAAACUGAUUUUGUGUUCUCUGGUUUAAAUUAUCUUUCAUCUUAAUCUUCUUUCUGUGAUGAGUGCUAUCUAAAUAAACUUUAGUUACUACUUACUUUGUGCAGAUUAAAAUAUGAAACUUUGAUUUAAAACAGGGAGAAAAAAUACAUUUUUUUGAAGGUUACUUAAACAAUUAUUUAUUCCAAGAAGUAAUUAUUCAAAUAAAAUGUUGCUUUUUAUUAACAAUGACUCAGUUUUAUUUGUCAGAGCUGUUUGUGCACAUGUGGGACUUGGAUUACAAUGCAAUGUUGGAAGCGUGUAGAUUAAUUAAAUUGGAGCCUCCAGCAUCAUGAAAUCAUUACAAAACCACAAUUAGGCCGCUCACAAUAAACCGAUGACACUGUUAACUUGUCAUGCACAAGCACACAGGAAUAAAUGAGUAAAUAUGAGAUGCUUGACAACAAACCACAUAUGUGAGAGAUGUUGUGCCUUCAGCUACCCAUUUCUGUUCAUUUGUCAAGACAUCAAACAGCACGCACUUCCUGUCAGUGGUGAAUCCAUGUGUGGCUGCACCAUCAUUACAUUACGGCAAACUCAUAAAUAAAAACCUGGAGUCUGAAACCUGCAAACAAGAGUGAUGGCUUCUCUCCAUGCUCCAUUUAUCUCUUUACUCUCUUUUUCUCUUUCUUCCUUGCUGCUCUUAUUUUAUGGUUGUGACCUUCUAACCACAUUGUGCUUUUCCUCCAUGAAGAAAUCUCUCCUCUGACGCUGCCUCAUGUGAAAUUGUACUUGUCACAUGCAGGCGUGUGCAUUGACAAAAUAUGAUCGCACAAAGUCAAACACACAGAUUGGAGGAGAGGAGAUCGUACGCCCCCUCCCUCG